CUCUGAAUCUGAAGGAAUCAAGCAACAUCAGGUAUGUUAAUCUAUAAUCCGUUGAUGAUUACAUUGUAAUGUAUGUUAAUUUUCUUAUGGUCCAUAUAAGUUCGUAUUCUAGGGUUUUGAAACAGUCGCAGUAAAUCCUCUAGCCGUUUCUUAUCAUCUCUCUCAUGAAAUCGAUCAACAUCAAUUAGAUUAAAUCAAAUGAACCCUUCCUCUCAAUUCGAUCAGUGGAGGUUUGGAAAAGCUAAAGCACAAGUCUCUAUGAAUGCUCAGACAACACAAAUGGUGGUUUGUUAAUGCUUAUUGUUUUUGUAAAUAACUAUUUGUGGUUACAUUAUGUGCUUGUGUUACAUAGGAACCAUAAAGGACUUAUCUGAUUGCAUUGUGAAUACUGGAAAAGUGUUCUAAAUGACAUUCUAAUUACUGAUUGUUUAAUAUAUGUAGAGUCAAUUAUUCUGUAAUUGAUUUAUUGUUUCCUGUUUUUUUUUUUUUUUUUUUUUUUU
RNAcentral lists this long non-coding RNA (500 nucleotides) under Helianthus annuus (common sunflower). Lineage: Eukaryota; Viridiplantae; Streptophyta; Magnoliopsida; Asterales; Asteraceae. The record is from RNAcentral.